GUGAAAAAGGAUAUGCAAGAGCAACAUCAUAGGAUGUUACAUGAGUUGGUAUGUUAGAUGAGGUGAGUAUUGAGACAACAUAAGCUGCAGCUUCAUUGUUGGCUUCAGAACCUGCUAUGUGGGGUCUAUGAGUGAGAACUUUAAGGUUGUUAGAUACUGAGACAUUAUCUGAUAGAGAAUUGGAUAUAAAGAGAGAGUGAUAAUAGCUAGAUUUCUUGGUUGGAGUAAGUAACAAGUAAGAUGUGGCUAUGGCUAAUAAGGUGAUGAUGAUGCUUGUUUUGAUCAUGGCAUAUGCUAAUUAAAACGUUGGACAAGUUUCUUGGUUUCUAGGGUUUGCCCGUAAGAAUGAGAUAGAGAAAGAUUGUUAUAUAUAUACUACUAUUUUGUUGAAGUUGGUUUUGAU
RNAcentral lists this long non-coding RNA (403 nucleotides) under Medicago truncatula (barrel medic). RNAcentral's name for it is "lncRNA gene37790". Lineage: Eukaryota; Viridiplantae; Streptophyta; Magnoliopsida; Fabales; Fabaceae. The record is from RNAcentral.